GGAAUAUUGGUCAAUGGACGCAAGUCUGAACCAGCCAUGACGCGUGAAGGAUGAAGGCGUUCUGCGUUGUAAACUUCUUGUGCGGGGGAAGAAACCUGAUUUUUCUAAAUCAGCCGACGGUGCCCCGAGAAUAAGCACCGGCUAACUCCGUGCCAGCAGCCGCGGUAAUACGGAGGGUGCAAGCGUUAUCCGGAUUUCCUGGGUUUAAAGGGUGUGUAGGCGGACUUUUAAGUCCGUGGUGAAAUCUCCGGGCUCAACCCGGAAACUGCCAUGGAUACUAUUGGUCUUGAAUAUUGUUGAGGUGGGCGGAACGGGUCAUGUAGCGGUGAAAUGCAUAGAUAUGACCCGGAACACCGAUUGCGAAGGCAGCCCACUAAGCAAUGAUUGACGCUGAGGCACGAAAGCGUGGGGAUCAAAC
Molecule: ribosomal RNA, 418 nt
Filed under: uncultured bacterium
Lineage: Bacteria
Description: bacterial SSU rRNA
Rfam family: Bacterial small subunit ribosomal RNA
Source: RNAcentral